GAUGAACGCUGGCGGCGUGCCUAAUACAUGCAAGUCGAGCGAACAGACGAGGAGCUUGCUCCUCUGACGUUAGCGGCGGACGGGUGAGUAACACGUGGAUAACCUACCUAUAAGACUGGGAUAACUUCGGGAAACCGGAGCUAAUACCGGAUAAUAUAUUGAACCGCAUGGUUCAAUAGUGAAAGACGGUUUUGCUGUCACUUAUAGAUGGAUCCGCGCCGCAUUAGCUAGUUGGUAAGGUAACGGCUUACCAAGGCAACGAUGCGUAGCCGACCUGAGAGGGUGAUCGGCCACACUGGAACUGAGACACGGUCCAGACUCCUACGGGAGGCAGCAGUAGGGAAUCUUCCGCAAUGGGCGAAAGCCUGACGGAGCAACGCCGCGUGAGUGAUGAAGGUCUUCGGAUCGUAAAACUCUGUUAUUAGGGAAGAACAAAUGUGGAAGUAACUAUGCACGUAUUGACGGUACCUAAUCAGAAAGCCACGGCUAACUACGUG
RNAcentral lists this ribosomal RNA (497 nucleotides) under uncultured bacterium. Its description in RNAcentral is "partial 16S ribosomal RNA". It matches the Rfam family "Bacterial small subunit ribosomal RNA", at positions 28 to 507 of the family's 1533-position model. The record is from RNAcentral.